CAUUAAGAAGCUUUACACAGCAUUAGCCUUUUAAGCUAAAGAAGGGGUAAAAUGACCCCCUUAGUGAA
This 68-nucleotide transfer RNA is filed under the name Lygosoma quadrupes. RNAcentral's name for it is "tRNA-Lys". It matches the Rfam family "tRNA". From Rfam's summary of the family: Transfer RNA (tRNA) molecules are approximately 80 nucleotides in length. Their secondary structure includes four short double-helical elements and three loops (D, anti-codon, and T loops). The record is from RNAcentral. Lineage: Eukaryota; Metazoa; Chordata; Lepidosauria; Squamata; Scincidae.